This 219-nucleotide long non-coding RNA is filed under the name Capsicum annuum. RNAcentral's name for it is "long non-coding RNA (CANN_LNC013868)". The record is from RNAcentral. Lineage: Eukaryota; Viridiplantae; Streptophyta; Magnoliopsida; Solanales; Solanaceae.
CCCUUCUCAGUAUUCUAAGACAGCAUAUGAUCUAGGAUUAGAAGCUUGAACCCCAAAUUUUAGUAGUAGCAAAGUGGUGUUAGUGUUAUCAGAAUUCAAUAGAUUAUGUAUCCAUCGGUCUAUUUGUAUGAAAGGUGAAUCUGUAGGCUUGAAAUAGUGUAUGUAAGAAUUUAAGUAUGUUGAUUUGAAAUUAUAUCUUGUUUAUAUUUGGCAUGUUGG